RNAcentral lists this unclassified non-coding RNA (250 nucleotides) under plant metagenome. RNAcentral describes it as "partial contains small subunit ribosomal RNA, internal transcribed spacer 1, and 5.8S ribosomal RNA". The record is from RNAcentral.
GUAGGUGAACCUGCGGAAGGAUCAUUAACAAAUCCAGUUGUGGAGAGGUUGGAGAGAGGGGGAGAUGGAUGGGAGUGAGGGAGGAGGAGGGAGAGGAAUGGGGAGGAGAUGGGAGAUGAGAUGGAUGGAAAUGGAGGAGCAAUCCUGCAUUUCUGGAAUCUCUUGUCGCUCACUCACUCACUCACUCACUCGCUCGCUCGCUCGCUCGCUUACCUUGUCUAUCUCAAUUCCCCCUACCCACCAAUUCACA